RNAcentral lists this ribosomal RNA (253 nucleotides) under uncultured bacterium. RNAcentral describes it as "partial 16S ribosomal RNA". It matches the Rfam family "Bacterial small subunit ribosomal RNA", at positions 524 to 776 of the family's 1533-position model. The record is from RNAcentral.
UACGUAGGGUGCAAGCGUUGUCCGGAAUUAUUGGGCGUAAAGGGCUCGUAGGCGGUCCAUCGCGUCGGGAGUGAAAAGCUGGGGCUCAACCCCAGUCCUGCUUCCGAUACGGGUGGACUAGAGGUAUGCAGGGGAGAACGGAAUUCCUGGUGUAGCGGUGAAAUGCGUAGAUAUCUGGAGGAACACCGGUGGCGAAGGCGGCAUCCUGGACCGGUAUUGACGCUGAGGCGCGAAAGCUAGGGGAGCAAACGGG